This 465-nucleotide ribosomal RNA is filed under the name uncultured bacterium. Its description in RNAcentral is "partial 16S ribosomal RNA". It matches the Rfam family "Bacterial small subunit ribosomal RNA", at positions 28 to 507 of the family's 1533-position model. The record is from RNAcentral.
GAUGAACGCUGGCGGCGUGCUUAACACAUGCAAGUCGAACGGAAAGGCUCCUGCUUGCAGGGGUACUCUAGUGGCGAACGGGUGAGUAACACGUGGGUGAUCUGCCCUGCACUUCGGGAUAAGCCUGGGAAACUGGGUCUAAUACCGGAUAGGACGAUGGUUUGGAUGCCAUUGUGGAAAGUUUUUCGGUGUGGGAUGAGCUCGCGGCCUAUCAGCUUGUUGGUGGGGUAAUGGCCUACCAAGGCGUCGACGGGUAGCCGGCCUGAGAGGGUGUACGGCCACAUUGGGACUGAGAUACGGCCCAGACUCCUACGGGAGGCAGCAGUGGGGAAUAUUGCACAAUGGGCGCAAGCCUGAUGCAGCGACGCCGCGUGGGGGAUGACGGCCUUCGGGUUGUAAACUCCUUUCGCUAGGGACGAAGCGCAAGUGACGGUACCUGGAGAAGAAGCACCGGCUAACUACGUG